GAGGGUAUAGCUCAACUGGUAGAGUGCUUGCUUAGCACGCACGAGGUGCUGGGGUCAAUCCCCAGUACCUCCA
Molecule: transfer RNA, 73 nt
Filed under: Camelus bactrianus (Bactrian camel)
Lineage: Eukaryota; Metazoa; Chordata; Mammalia; Artiodactyla; Camelidae
Also listed under: 3 other names
Rfam family: tRNA
About the family: Transfer RNA (tRNA) molecules are approximately 80 nucleotides in length. Their secondary structure includes four short double-helical elements and three loops (D, anti-codon, and T loops). Further hydrogen bonds mediate the characteristic L-shaped molecular structure. tRNAs have two regions of fundamental functional importance: the anti-codon, which is responsible for specific mRNA codon recognition, and the 3' end, to which the tRNAs corresponding amino acid is attached (by aminoacyl-tRNA synthetases). tRNAs cope with the degeneracy of the genetic code in two manners: having more than one tRNA (with a specific anti-codon) for a particular amino acid; and 'wobble' base-pairing, i.e. permitting non-standard base-pairing at the 3rd anti-codon position.
Source: Rfam by way of RNAcentral